This 537-nucleotide ribosomal RNA is filed under the name Bifidobacterium longum subsp. infantis. RNAcentral's name for it is "bacterial SSU rRNA". It matches the Rfam family "Bacterial small subunit ribosomal RNA", at positions 160 to 711 of the family's 1533-position model. RNAcentral also lists the same sequence under 2 other names. The record is from RNAcentral. Lineage: Bacteria; Bacillati; Actinomycetota; Actinomycetes; Bifidobacteriales; Bifidobacteriaceae.
GUGGUAAUGCCGGAUGCUCCAGUUGAUCGCAUGGUCUUCUGGGAAAGCUUUCGCGGUAUGGGAUGGGGUCGCGUCCUAUCAGCUUGACGGCGGGGUAACGGCCCACCGUGGCUUCGACGGGUAGCCGGCCUGAGAGGGCGACCGGCCACAUUGGGACUGAGAUACGGCCCAGACUCCUACGGGAGGCAGCAGUGGGGAAUAUUGCACAAUGGGCGCAAGCCUGAUGCAGCGACGCCGCGUGAGGGAUGGAGGCCUUCGGGUUGUAAACCUCUUUUAUCGGGGAGCAAGCGAGAGUGAGUUUACCCGUUGAAUAAGCACCGGCUAACUACGUGCCAGCAGCCGCGGUAAUACGUAGGGUGCAAGCGUUAUCCGGAAUUAUUGGGCGUAAAGGGCUCGUAGGCGGUUCGUCGCGUCCGGUGUGAAAGUCCAUCGCUUAACGGUGGAUCCGCGCCGGGUACGGGCGGGCUUGAGUGCGGUAGGGGAGACUGGAAUUCCCGGUGUAACGGUGGAAUGUGUAGAUAUCGAAAAAAAACACCA